AGCAGUAGCCACGGUAAUACGUAGGUGGCAAGCGUUGUCCGGAAUUAUUGGGCGUAAAGGGCACGCAGGCGGUUUCUUAAGUCUGAUGUGAAAGCCCCCGGCUCAACCGGGGAGGGUCAUUGGAAACUGGGAAACUUGAGUGCAGAAGAGGAGAGUGGAAUUCCUAGUGUAGCGGUGAAAUGCGUAGAGAUUAGGAGGAACACCAGUGGCGAAGGCGGCUUUUUGGCCUGUAACUGACACUGAGGCGCGAAAGCGUGGGGAGCAAACAGGAUUAGAGACCCCGGUAGUCCCUGUCUCUUAUAA
This 303-nucleotide ribosomal RNA is filed under the name uncultured bacterium. RNAcentral's name for it is "partial 16S ribosomal RNA". It matches the Rfam family "Bacterial small subunit ribosomal RNA", at positions 507 to 809 of the family's 1533-position model. The record is from RNAcentral.